GACGAACGCUGGCGGCGUGCCUAAUACAUGCAAGUAGAACGCACAGUUUAUACCGUAGCUUGCUACACCAUAGACUGUGAGUUGCGAACGGGUGAGUAACGCGUAGGUAACCUGCCUGGUAGCGGGGGAUAACUAUUGGAAACGAUAGCUAAUACCGCAUAAUAUUAAUUAUUGCAUGAUAAUUAAUUGAAAGGUGCAAUUGCACCACUACCAGAUGGACCUGCGUUGUAUUAGCUAGUAGGUGAGGUAACGGCUCACCUAGGCGACGAUACAUAGCCGACCUGAGAGGGUGAUCGGCCACACUGGGACUGAGACACGGCCCAGACUCCAACGGGAGGCAGCAGUAGGGAAUCUUCGGCAAUGGACGAAAGUCUGACCGAGCAACGCCGCGUGAGUGAAGAAGGUUUUCGGAUCGUAAAGCUCUGUUGUAAGAGAAGAACGGGUGUGAGAGUGGGAAGUUCACACUGUGACGGUAUCUUACCAGAAAGGGACGGCUAACUACGUG
RNAcentral lists this ribosomal RNA (505 nucleotides) under uncultured bacterium. RNAcentral's name for it is "partial 16S ribosomal RNA". It matches the Rfam family "Bacterial small subunit ribosomal RNA", at positions 28 to 507 of the family's 1533-position model. The record is from RNAcentral.